UACGUAGGGUGCGAGCGUUGUCCGGAAUUAUUGGGCGUAAAGGGCUCGUAGGCGGUUUGUCGCGUCGGGAGUGAAAACCCAGGGCUUAACCCUGGGCUGGCUUCCGAUACGGGCAGACUAGAGGUAUGCAGGGGAGAACGGAAUUCCUGGUGUAGCGGUGAAAUGCGCAGAUAUCAGGAGGAACACCGGUGGCGAAGGCGGGUCUCUGGGCCGAAACUGACGCUGAGGAGCGAAAGCGUGGGGAGCAAACAGG
This 253-nucleotide ribosomal RNA is filed under the name uncultured bacterium. Its description in RNAcentral is "partial 16S ribosomal RNA". It matches the Rfam family "Bacterial small subunit ribosomal RNA", at positions 524 to 776 of the family's 1533-position model. The record is from RNAcentral.